GACGAACGCUGGCGGCGUGCUUAACACAUGCAAGUCGAACGGAAAGGCCCUGCUUUUGUGGGGUGCUCGAGUGGCGAACGGGUGAGUACCACGUGAGUAACCUGCCCGUGACUUUGGGAUAACGUCGGGAAACUGGGGCUAAUACCGGAUAGGAGCUCCUGCUGCAUGGUGGGGGUUGGAAAGUUUCGGGGGGUGGGGAGGGACUCGCGGCUUGUGAGUUUGUUGGUGGGGCUUUGGUUUACCAUGGCGUUGACGGGUACCCGGCCUGAGAGGGCGAGCGGCGGCGUUGGGACUGAGAUACGGCGCAGGCUCGUACGGGAGGCAGCAGUGGGGAAUAUUGCACAAUGGGAGGAGGCCUGAUGCAGAAACGCUGUGGGCGGGAUGACGGACGUCGGGGUGUAGGCCGCUUUCGCCUGGGACGAAGCGUGAGGGACGGUAAUGGGUAAAGAAGAACCGGCUAACUACGUG
RNAcentral lists this ribosomal RNA (468 nucleotides) under uncultured bacterium. RNAcentral describes it as "partial 16S ribosomal RNA". It matches the Rfam family "Bacterial small subunit ribosomal RNA", at positions 28 to 507 of the family's 1533-position model. The record is from RNAcentral.